This 373-nucleotide ribosomal RNA is filed under the name uncultured eukaryote. RNAcentral describes it as "partial 18S ribosomal RNA". It matches the Rfam family "Eukaryotic small subunit ribosomal RNA", at positions 592 to 976 of the family's 1831-position model. The record is from RNAcentral.
CAAUAGCGUAUAUUAAUGUUGUUGCAGUUAAAAAGCUCGUAGUUGGAUUUCGGUUGAGAACGGCCGGUCCGCCGUUUGGUGUGCACUGGCUGGUUUCAACUUCCUGUAGAGGACGCGCUCUGGCUUCACGGCUGGACGCGGAGUCUACGUGGUUACUUUGAAAAAAUUAGAGUGUUCAAAGCGGGCUUACGCUUGAAUAUUUCAGCAUGGAAUAACACUAUAGGACUCCUGUCCUAUUUCGUUGGUCUCGGGACGGGAGUAAUGAUUAAGAGGAACAGUUGGGGGCAUUCGUAUUUCAUUGUCAGAGGUGAAAUUCUUGGAUUUAUGAAAGACGAACUUCUGCGAAAGCAUUUGCCAAGGAUGUUUNCAUUAA